CCCUUUCCCCUUGACACACUAUCUUCUUUCUCGUUCUUAAUAUCCUCAAAAAUACAAAUAAUAAUGUAGGUACUCAAGGUCAACCAUCAGCAAUCCUGUGCUUGAAUUCAACAAGGGAACAAUGAAAUUAAACCAUGUUGAAGAGGCAAAAUUUUGGGUCCAAUUCUCUGAAAACUAGAAGCGAGGAAACUAUCAAACAGGAUCCAAGGGGCUCAGGGGGGAGA
Molecule: long non-coding RNA, 224 nt
Organism: Telopea speciosissima
Lineage: Eukaryota; Viridiplantae; Streptophyta; Magnoliopsida; Proteales; Proteaceae
Exons: 2
Source: RefSeq, a predicted model, not a curated record